Molecule: long non-coding RNA, 435 nt
Organism: Alosa alosa (allis shad)
Lineage: Eukaryota; Metazoa; Chordata; Actinopteri; Clupeiformes; Clupeidae
Exons: 3
Source: RefSeq, a predicted model, not a curated record
CGCCUAUCUUUAUCUAUAAGCCCCAAACAUAUAGCAUAAAUGUGCCAUUUGGAGACCAUCUGAGGAAUGGAAGAGGUCUAGAAGUGGUCUCCUGCUCAUGCUGACCAGGAGGACUCGGUCAUCUACAGUGGAGUCCAAUCCCAGCACCCAUCCCAGCUCAGCAGGUCCUGUGAAACGAAUGGGGAGGAUGAGUCAUCUACAGACAUCUAUAGCAGAUUGCAGAAACCAUAUAGAAAAUGAUGCGAACCCACAAAGAUUCCAGAAGCAAUGUAGAACAUGACUUCAAUAUGGAAGAUUCCAGAAGCAAUGUAGAACAUGACUUCAAUAUGGAAGAUUCCAGAAGCAAUGUAGAACAUGACUUCAAUAUGGAAGAUUCCAGAAGCAAUGUAGAACAUGACUGGGAUACAGAAUAUCCUUCAAUAUGGAAGAGUGUUC